GCCCCUGUAUCCGUGCGGGCCUUCUAUCCCGACAACGGUAGCGGAUUACGCUGGUUCGAUUCCAGCCAGGGGCUCCA
RNAcentral lists this transfer RNA (77 nucleotides) under Ensifer fredii. RNAcentral describes it as "Sinorhizobium fredii tRNA-OTHER". Lineage: Bacteria; Pseudomonadati; Pseudomonadota; Alphaproteobacteria; Hyphomicrobiales; Rhizobiaceae. The record is from RNAcentral.